RNAcentral lists this long non-coding RNA (207 nucleotides) under Solanum tuberosum (potato). RNAcentral's name for it is "long non-coding RNA (STUB_LNC007140)". The record is from RNAcentral. Lineage: Eukaryota; Viridiplantae; Streptophyta; Magnoliopsida; Solanales; Solanaceae.
UAUGCCUAAAAUACCAAACACUAUCCAGCUCAAAAACAGGUUUCGUCACUUACAUCCGAAAGGAAUGCCAUAUCCUAUCGAUUCAUAUUCAACAAAGCUUCUAAUGUAUCAAGAAGAGGCACCUAAGUCUACCAAGUCAAGACACACAUCACAUUAUAAAGAUCCUUCACAUUCCAUCAUCAUCACAUAUGAACAAUAAUAGAGGAC